GACGAACGCUGGCGGCGUGCUUAACACAUGCAAGUCGAACGGAAAGGCCCUGCUUUUGUGGGGUGCUCGAGUGGCGAACGGGUGAGUAACACGUGAGUAACCUGCCCUUGACUUUGGGAUAACUUCAGGAAACUGGGGCUAAUACCGGAUAGGAGCUCCUGCUGCAUGGUGGGGGUUGGAAAGUUUCGGCGGUUGGGGAUGGACUCGCGGCUUAUCAGCUUGUUGGUUGGGUAGUGGCUUACCAAGGCUUUGGCGGGUAGCCGGCCUGAGCGGGUGACCGGCCACAUUGGGACUGAGAUACGGCCCAGACUCCUACGGGAGGCAGCAGUGGGGAAUAUUGCACAAUGGGCGGAAGCCUGAUGCAGCAACGCCGCGUGCGGGAUGACGGCCUUCGGGUUGUAAACCGCUUUCGCCUGUGACGAAGCGUGAGUGACGGUAAUGGGUAAAGAAGCACCGGCUAACUACGUG
Molecule: ribosomal RNA, 468 nt
Filed under: uncultured bacterium
Lineage: Bacteria
Description: partial 16S ribosomal RNA
Rfam family: Bacterial small subunit ribosomal RNA
Source: RNAcentral